GGUAGACCAGAGGGUAUUGCUACUAAGGAAUUAUGGUCAGCUGCCAGCACAAACUGUGUAUAGUCAGCUACAUUCCAGCGAACUACAUGGCUAUUAUUUCAGAGGACUUAACUUAGAAGAUGGCCUUAAAGUGCCGUGUCUUGAAGAUGGACAUAUCCUUUACAAUGGAAUUUAUUACACACCUGCAUGGGCUGACUUUGGAAAAGAUGGCUAUGACCUUGUGAAGGCAACAGGAUUAAAGAUUUUUACCAACUCUCACCUCCGGAAACCAGUAUUGUGCAAGGAUUCUAACCAUCUUGAAUCUACUGAUUACAUACCCUUAGGAUCCUCAAAACAAUCGGAUUUUUCAAUGGCAAAAUGUGACUUCUUUCCGAAAUAUUACCCAACUCUCGUUCCAACUGAUUUCAGAACCAAUGUUUGGAGAUUACUGGAUUGUUGUGAAAAGAAACUCAAGGAAGACAGUGACACACCAAUUUGCUGU
This 481-nucleotide long non-coding RNA is filed under the name Homo sapiens (human). RNAcentral describes it as "novel transcript". Lineage: Eukaryota; Metazoa; Chordata; Mammalia; Primates; Hominidae. The record is from RNAcentral.